GACUCCGCCCUCCGGCCUCACCGGUUCGCACAUCCUGCCCCGUGGAGACCCCGCCUCCCGGCCAGAGCCACCUGCCCACAUUGCGGGCCCCUGAGUCUGACCGACCCUGGCCCCCAGAGCCACGCGCCGGGUCGCACCUCACCUGCAGACCCCACCUGCCGGGACUCCAGCGCCAGGUCCCUCCCUGUAACGUCCCGCGGCCGCGGAGGGCCGGGAAGGAACACACUCCGGGUCGGGACCCUGGCCACCCAGGCCACGGCCUCCAGAAGGGCCUCCCCUCUUCCUCGAGAACAAACCGUGGGUCUUUCUGCUUUAGGAGCCUCUUCUGUAAACAGCAUGAAAUCAAAUUCUGCUUUUAAAUCUCGGCUAGGAGACAGUGCCUUCUAACGGGGGAGGGAAACUCAGUCGCGCUGACGGCUACAAGUUAUGCCGGAUCCGGUCCGCUCUGCCGAACCCUCCUGCGCUUCUCUCCAGCGUCUACGCUGGGGGUUUGCAGCCCUACCUGUCACGGGGCCUCUCGUCGUCUUCCCGGAGCCCCCGGUGGCCUGACGUCAGGACUGGGUUUUACAGCCACGGUCGCCCACCGGUCUCGCCCUCACAUCACCCCGUCAGGACCUCUGCUGGGAUCCGUUCCAGAAACUUCCGAGCCCAUGGAACUCCAAGCAUGACUUUGGUUCCCGUGUGCUCGCAGGAAAUGCAGGGAUCCUGAGGGGACGUGAGCUCUGCGCGGCCCGUGUGUCCUGGGGUGGCCUCCCCUGGGGAGGCAGUCAGAUUUCUAGAAGGGAGUUUGCGUGUGGAGGCGUGACUUUGUCCCUGUUCUUACCUGUGUUGACCUGCCUCACGUUUUAAACAUUUUUUUAAUGUUUUUUGAGAUAAUGGGGGAGAAGACAGAGAGGCGGAGUCCCAGGAAGGUCCACACUCCGCAGAGUCCGACGCGAGGCCGGAACGCACCAACCGGAGACGGCGGAGUCGAGCCCGAACCCGGAGCCGGGCGCUGAACUGACUGAGCCUCUGGGCGCCCCUGACCCGCCUGCUCUUAACCGCCAGCCCCACCCCUCAGGCAGCCAGUUCUGGAAAAGUCUCCUUGGUGUAUGUGUUUAAUGCUGCUUUUUUAUCCAAAUCACUCUGGUCCUGGGGUUGACCUUGGUUCUCGCCCUCCGGCUCUGACGUACGUCUGUUCUCAACACCCUGAAAGAACUUCUAAGUUUGUCCUCCACAUCCCACAGCCUUAAACACUCAGCGCCUCCCAUGUGAACUUUCUUUUUGCUAAAACAGUUUUAAUUUUCUGGAACUCUGUGCUCAUGGGAGCAAGUACAGUUUCCGUUCACGGCUGCUCCCUCUUCUCUGGCACAGAAAUCGCAGCCUCUUGCACCGUUAGGGAAGCCCGAGAACCUUCUGAUGCUGCUUCUUACUCUCCAUCGCUCCCAGAACUAAACGUUCUUCUAC
Long non-coding RNA from Suricata suricatta (meerkat), 1446 nucleotides. RefSeq lists it as uncharacterized. The transcript is spliced from 3 exons. NCBI's taxonomy places the organism in Eukaryota, Metazoa, Chordata, Mammalia, Carnivora, Herpestidae. The record is from RefSeq and is a predicted model, not a curated record.